RNAcentral lists this unclassified non-coding RNA (44 nucleotides) under Leishmania infantum. RNAcentral describes it as "guide RNA". The record is from RNAcentral. Lineage: Eukaryota; Euglenozoa; Kinetoplastea; Trypanosomatida; Trypanosomatidae.
UCACAUAAACCAUACAGAUAUAAAAUACGUGUGAAAUAAGUUAU